Molecule: ribosomal RNA, 345 nt
Filed under: uncultured bacterium
Lineage: Bacteria
Description: bacterial SSU rRNA
Rfam family: Bacterial small subunit ribosomal RNA
Source: RNAcentral
GGGAAACCGGGGCUAAUACCGGAUGAGCCCUUCGGGGGAAAGAUUUAUCGGGAAAGGAUGAGCCCGCGUUGGAUUAGCUAGUUGGUGGGGUAAAGGCCUACCAAGGCGACGAUCCAUAGCUGGUCUGAGAGGAUGAUCAGCCACAUUGGGACUGAGACACGGCCCAAACUCCUACGGGAGGCAGCAGUGGGGAAUAUUGGACAAUGGGCGCAAGCCUGAUCCAGCCAUGCCGCGUGAGUGAUGAAGGCCCUAGGGUUGUAAAGCUCUUUCAGCACAGACGAAGCGCAAGUGACGGUAUGUGCAGAAGAAGGACCGGCCAACUACGUGCCAGCAGCCGCGGUAAUA